GCAGUCGUGGCCGAGUGGUUAAGGCGAUGGACUCGAAAUCCAUUGGGGUUUCCCCGCACAGGUUCUAAUCCUGCCGGCUGCG
RNAcentral lists this transfer RNA (82 nucleotides) under Rhipicephalus microplus (southern cattle tick). RNAcentral's name for it is "tRNA-Ser". It matches the Rfam family "tRNA". From Rfam's summary of the family: Transfer RNA (tRNA) molecules are approximately 80 nucleotides in length. Their secondary structure includes four short double-helical elements and three loops (D, anti-codon, and T loops). Lineage: Eukaryota; Metazoa; Arthropoda; Arachnida; Ixodida; Ixodidae. The record is from Rfam by way of RNAcentral.